CACUUCUGUGUCUGAGUGCUCUACCAAAUAUUUACAAGAUAGUCAGAUAAAAUGGCUACAGGCAAGUUCAGCAGGGUUUGACUGAACAGCCAGUAGUGCAGCACUGUCAAGAAGAAAAUCUAAACUUUAGUUAAAACAAAAUUAAAUUUUACAAAGGUCUCUUCAAAGCACAGAACUGGUAACCUUGAAGCUGGAAAAUUGCUCUUCCCCAAGGUGAAACAUAUUAGCUUUUACAAGUAGCUUAUUGAAAUGGAAUAGCUUCCUUGUUGUGAUGGAAACUUCUUUAUUAAAGGAGAGCCCAAAGCUGGGUGACUGGGUAUGUAAGCAGACAGCUGUGGAGUAGCUUCCUCCAUGCCAUCCUGUUUGGUGCCUGGGAGCGAUUCGACAUCACCUUCCACAUCCCAUCAGCUCCUCAGUCUCAUGCACUGCCACAGUAAGGGUGUGCUGGACUUUUUACUAGGGGCCACGUGCCCUCAGGAACUCUCACAUCACCUCAGGACUGCCUAGCAAACAGCAGAAGGCAACCUGCUUGUGUCACCACCACAGGCGGCCCCACCACAGCUGAUGUCCUUGCUGGGUUACCUACAGCCACUUCAGCAGUGCUCCAGACCGCCGUAUUUCUGUACAGGCUACUCUGCUUCUCAAGAGGUUGCUCAAGGAUGAUCCUGACCACAGCACAGCCAGUGAUGCCUUCAGCAGCCUCCAGCACAUCACACAUUCUCUAAGUUUGUAAGCAAUUUGUGCCAAUUCCAGACAACUCCAGAUGUGUGUCUUUCCCACCAGUAUCUGCAGAGACUUGGCUCUGGAGACAGGGAUCUGCUUGCCAACAUACUGCCUCCCCGUGCUUUCAGCCCCAAGGGUCGAGUUCCUGCUGCCACACUCAUCUCUGGCUGUGCUGCCAGACAUGCUGUGGGAUGGAGGGCAGACGUGCUGGUAAGGAACAAUUCUGCUUUCUUCUACACGAGUAUAGUGUUGAUGUAAAAUUGUUUAACACAGACGAGACACUCUUGCCUUCAAAGUACACCAAACAGUCACAUUAAAGCCCUGAGAAAAGUUAAGAAAGGAGCACAUAGAUUAGUUUGAAUCAUUUUGACCUUGUCUACAUUUUAAGUAUUAGAUGGUAAAGUUAUGUUGGCAAACUUUACUCUUAGAUAUUUCUCCUUCUCUCCUAGAUUUAAAUAAAAAAAACCAACUCUGUUUCUUCUUAUAUUCUGAGCAAAGAAAACACUAACAGCAAACGGGCUUCUAUGGAGUUACAACUGCACAAACAAAAAACGUUUUUUCUGGUAGAGAAAUCUCACAAAGAAAUCUUGCUCUUUUUUGACAUCAUUACUUUGGCAAAACUUACCAGGUGUUAUUAGGUGUUCAAACUUAGACUGCCUUUUCCACAGCUUUUAAAACAGAGAGUUACUAUACACAACCUAACACUUUUCAAGUUCAAACUCUUAAACCCUAGUCCAGACAGGGCCUUUGGGAGUAACGUUCAAACUCACCCUGCCUGAUCUUCAACAGCUCAUGCUUCUGCCCAGAUCAUACCUUCCCAGGGGUGUCCUGAGACCAGUUGCGGUCAGAGUCCAGCACUCCACACUGCUGCUCCCAUGGGAAGAGGGAGAGGACACUGCCAGGGCAGAGGCUGGUGUGGUACCUUCUGCAAGCACCACCACACUCAUCUAUGAUGCCACGGGGCAUAAGUGCACAGAGAGGAUGUGUCCUAUCAGCUUCAGGUGGGUGGCAGGGCAACUUCAGGGAGCUAAACCUUGGCACUGGCCUUUGGGAAAAACCAGUCUGUGAUUCAUCUGACUGUAAAAAAUUGAGAGAAAAGAAUUGGAAUAGCUGAACAAAAAUAAA
This is a long non-coding RNA of Columba livia (rock pigeon), 1848 nucleotides long. RefSeq lists it as uncharacterized. The transcript has 2 exons. The record is from RefSeq and is a predicted model, not a curated record. NCBI's taxonomy places the organism in Eukaryota, Metazoa, Chordata, Aves, Columbiformes, Columbidae.